ACGAACGCUGGCGGCAUGCCUAACACCUGCAAGUCGAACGAGACCUUCGGGUCUAGUGGCGCACGGGUGCGUAACGCGUGGGAGCCUGCCCUUAGGUUCGGAAUAACUCCCCGAAAGGGGUGCUAAUACCGGAUAAUGUCUUCGGACCAAAGAUUUAUCGCCUUUGGAUGGGCCCGCGUUGGAUUAGCUAGUUGGUAGGGUAAAAGCCUACCAAGGCGACGAUCCAUAGCUGGUCUGAGAGGAUGAUCAGCCACACUGGGACUGAGACACGGCCCAGACUCCUACGGGAAGCAGCAGUGGGGAAUAUUGGACAAUGGGCGAAAGCCUGAUCCAGCAAUGCCGCGUGAGUGAUGAAGGCCUUAGGGUUGUAAAGCUCUUUUACCCGGGAUGAUAAUGACAGUACCGGGAGAAUAAGCUCCGGCUAACUCCGUG
This 432-nucleotide ribosomal RNA is filed under the name uncultured bacterium. RNAcentral describes it as "partial 16S ribosomal RNA". It matches the Rfam family "Bacterial small subunit ribosomal RNA", at positions 29 to 507 of the family's 1533-position model. The record is from RNAcentral.